Molecule: ribosomal RNA, 432 nt
Filed under: uncultured bacterium
Lineage: Bacteria
Description: partial 16S ribosomal RNA
Rfam family: Bacterial small subunit ribosomal RNA
Source: RNAcentral
AACGAACGCUGGCGGCAUGCCUAACACAUGCAAGUCGAACGAGACCUUCGGGUCUAGUGGCGCACGGGUGCGUAACGCGUGGGAACCUGCCCUUAGGUUCGGAAUAACUCCCCGAAAGGGGUGCUAAUACCGGAUAAUGUCUUCGGACCAAAGAUUUAUCGCCUUUGGAUGGGCCCGCGUUGGAUUAGCUAGUUGGUAGGGUAAAAGCCACCAAGGCGACGAUCCAUAGCUGGUCUGAGAGGAUGAUCAGCCACACUGGGACUGAGACACGGCCCAGACUCCUACGGGAGGCAGCAGUGGGGAAUAUUGGACAAUGGGCGAAAGCCUGAUCCAGCAAUGCCGCGUGAGUGAUGAAGGCCUUAGGGUUGUAAAGCUCUUUUACCCGGGAUGAUAAUGACAGUACCGGGAGAAUAAGCCCCGGCUAACUCCGUG